Aedes albopictus (Asian tiger mosquito) is the source of this 425-nucleotide long non-coding RNA. RefSeq lists it as uncharacterized. The record is from RefSeq and is a predicted model, not a curated record. NCBI's taxonomy places the organism in Eukaryota, Metazoa, Arthropoda, Insecta, Diptera, Culicidae. The transcript has 2 exons.
UCGCCCAACUCUGUUGGUUUGGACGUUUUGCAGCUUGACAGUCCAAUCUGACAAAAUGUCAAAACAAUCAGAAAACGCAGAUUGGACGUUUGGUAAAACAGGGAAAAUAAGUUGAUUUUUCAGUAUUUUUGUAAGUUUUAAAAUAAAACCGAGUUAAUGCAGGUUUCUUUGACCAAUCCGACAUUGUGCUGUUAUUGUUUGGUUUACAUGACAUCCGGGGAACAGAUUGUUCAACAACGAACAACCAUCGGGGGAUCUCAUCUGUGAUGAAUGCGGAUAGGGAUAUGUCCAAGAUAUACCAACGGUAUCGCAAGAUGCACUACGCCACAGUCAAGCUAUGUCACGAUUCCGGUUCUUAUUCUGAUGUGGAACACAGACAAACGGCACCAAUGCAACCACUGAGCAGCAAUCGGUCGAAGCUUCAA